AGAAUCAACGCUGGCGGCGUGCCUAACACAUGCAAGUCGAACGAGAAAGGAGAGCAAUCCCUGAGUAAAGUGGCGCACGGGUGAGUAACACGUGACUAACCUACCCUUGAGUGGGGGAUAACUGAGGGAACCUUAGCUAAUACCGCAUAAUACCCACGGGUCAAAGGAGCAAUUCGCUCGAGGAGGGGUCGCGGCCGAUUAGUUAGUUGGCGGGGUAAUGGCCCACCAAGACGAUGAUCGGUA
RNAcentral lists this ribosomal RNA (243 nucleotides) under uncultured bacterium. Its description in RNAcentral is "partial small subunit ribosomal RNA". It matches the Rfam family "Bacterial small subunit ribosomal RNA", at positions 26 to 285 of the family's 1533-position model. The record is from RNAcentral.